Molecule: transfer RNA, 64 nt
Filed under: Vasdavidius concursus
Lineage: Eukaryota; Metazoa; Arthropoda; Insecta; Hemiptera; Aleyrodidae
Description: tRNA-Glu
Source: RNAcentral
GUUUUUAUAGUUUAUAUAGAACAUUACUUUUUCAUUGUAAAAGAAAUUUUAAUAUUUAAAAAUA